CCCCCCCCAAGAAGUCCCAGCAUGUCACAUCAGCAUCCAGCCCUUCAGGAUCAGCUCCUAUAUAGGCUAUUAGCUAAAAUGAUACUGAAAAAAAAUGCACGGCGAACUGGGAGCCCUGAACUGGGAAGCAGAUGUCCUUCUAAGGGACACCCUUGAUGCAUCAAGGUGGUGCAAACGCCAAACAUUUAAAGGCACCGUUUCCCUCCCAGGUCUAAUUGGGAUCUACAGGGAAGAUCGCAUUACAACCCUUUAAGAACUACGGUUGUAUGAUGGCCUGGAUGAAGAGAAACAUAUUCUCGUCAAGGAACCAUUCAUGUUACAGAGAGAUUAUGAGAUGUUCUACGUGGAGGCAGUUGACAACAAGAACAUUACUGUCUUUGCCUCUGCUGAGGAGCAGGAGUCAAGCCAUUUUUGAGGAGAGGUCAAACCUUGUUUUUGUUGUGUUAAUUGUUUCAGUUGUUAAUUGUGUUGUUUAGUAAAGAUGAUGUAAAAGUCA
Long non-coding RNA from Oncorhynchus tshawytscha (Chinook salmon), 496 nucleotides. RefSeq lists it as uncharacterized. The transcript has 3 exons. The record is from RefSeq and is a predicted model, not a curated record. NCBI's taxonomy places the organism in Eukaryota, Metazoa, Chordata, Actinopteri, Salmoniformes, Salmonidae.